This 417-nucleotide ribosomal RNA is filed under the name Bacillus sp. MIG. RNAcentral's name for it is "bacterial SSU rRNA". It matches the Rfam family "Bacterial small subunit ribosomal RNA", at positions 381 to 796 of the family's 1533-position model. The record is from RNAcentral. Lineage: Bacteria; Bacillati; Bacillota; Bacilli; Caryophanales; Bacillaceae.
GUCUGACGGAGCACGCCGCGUGAGUGAUGAAGGUUUUCGGAUCGUAAAGCUCUGUUGUUAGGGAAGAACAAGUGCAAGAGUAACUGCUUGCACCUUGACGGUACCUAACCAGAAAGCCACGGCUAACUACGUGCCAGCAGCCGCGGUAAUACGUAGGUGGCAAGCGUUGUCCGGAAUUAUUGGGCCGUAAAGGGCUCGCAGGCGGUUUCUUAAGUCUGAUGUGAAAGCCCCCGGCUCAACCGGGGAGGGUCAUUGGAAACUGGGAAACUUGAGUGCAGAAGAGGAGAGUGGAAUUCCACGUGUAGCGGUGAAAUGCGUAGAGAUGUGGAGGACACCAGUGGCGAAGGCACUCUCUGGUCUGUACUACGCUGAGGAGCGAAGCGUGGGGAGCNAACAGGAUUAGAUCCCUGGUAGUCC